RNAcentral lists this ribosomal RNA (235 nucleotides) under uncultured bacterium. RNAcentral's name for it is "partial 16S ribosomal RNA". It matches the Rfam family "Bacterial small subunit ribosomal RNA", at positions 118 to 347 of the family's 1533-position model. The record is from RNAcentral.
UGAGGAACAUGACCUUCGGCGGGGAUAGCCGGCCCAACGGCCGGGUAAUACCGCGUACGACCUUUCGGGGACAUCCCUGGAUGGUGAAAGCAGCAAUGCGCCGAUGGAGUGCCUCGCGGCCUAUCAGCUGGUUGGUGAGGUAACGGCUCACCAAGGCAACGACGGGUAGCUGGUCUGAGAGGAUGGCCAGCCACAUUGGGACUGAGACACGGCCCAGACCUCCGUACGGGNGCAG